CCUUUUCCAAGAGUUAUGAUUCUGGCUCAGGAUGAACGCUAGCGGCAGCCCUAACACAUGCAAGUCGAGGGGCAGCACGUCUUCGGAUGGUGGCGACCGGCGCACGGGUGCGUAACGCGUAUGCGACCUACCUCUUACAGGGGGAUAGCCCAGAGAAAAUUUGGAUUAAUACCCCAUGGCAUCCCGCCACCGCAUGGUGCGCGGGAUUAAAGAUUCAUCGGUAAGAGAUGGGCAUGCGUCCUAUUAGCUAGUUGGUGCGGUAACGGCGCACCAAGGCUACGAUAGGUAGGGGCCCUGAGAGGGGGAUCCCCCACACUGGUACUGAGACACGGACCAGACUCCUACGGGAGGCAGCAGUGAGGAAUAUUGGACAAUGGGCGAGAGCCUGAUCCAGCCAUGCCGCGUGCAGGAAGACUGCCCUAUGGGUUGUAAACUGCUUUUGUACGGGAAGAACCCCGCCCACGUGUGGGCGGCUGACGGUACCGUAAGAAUAAGGAUCGGCUAACUCCGUGCCAGCAGCCGCGGUAAUACGGAGGAUCCGAGCGUUAUCCGGAAUCAUUGGGUUUAAAGGGUCCGUAGGUGGACCAUUAAGUCAGGGGUGAAAGUCUGCGGCUCAACCGUAGAACUGCCCUUGAUACUGGUGGUCUUGAGUCGUUGUGAAGUGGUUGGAAUAUGUGGUGUAGCGGUGAAAUGCAUAGAUAUCACAUAGAACACCGAUUGCGAAGGCAGAUCACUAACAACGUACUGACACUGAUGGACGAAAGCGUGGGGAGCGAACAGGAUUAGAUACCCUGGUAGUCCACGCCGUAAACGAUGGUCACUAGCUGUCCGGGGGCGACCUUGUGCGUCCAAGCCAAACAAUAACUACAGCCUAGAGAGCAGUGGGGGA
This 889-nucleotide ribosomal RNA is filed under the name Sediminibacter sp. MAR2010_188. RNAcentral's name for it is "bacterial SSU rRNA". It matches the Rfam family "Bacterial small subunit ribosomal RNA", at positions 1 to 890 of the family's 1533-position model. The record is from RNAcentral. Lineage: Bacteria; Pseudomonadati; Bacteroidota; Flavobacteriia; Flavobacteriales; Flavobacteriaceae.